CGCCUGCACUGCACUGGAUACGGCUUUGGACCGAGAGCUCGUCCGCGGUCCGCUGCUGGAGGGGGAAAACACCCGGGAAGCUUGGACUCCCUCUGUUCUACUAGAGCUGGAAGGGUGAAGGUCAGAAUGUCUCAUGAAGAUAACAAUCAGCCUCAUCUUCUCUAACGGCCACUAAUGCGAUGAUAUUUAACAGCUCAACACGCUUGGAGGAGAGCACUAACUACCUGUUCUGCUAAUCAGGUAAAACAUUCUCUCAUACUCUCACCUACUAGCAUUGAACCAUUCUACACACUACUGGCUAUGGAUG
RNAcentral lists this long non-coding RNA (307 nucleotides) under Astyanax mexicanus (Mexican tetra). RNAcentral's name for it is "lncRNA (ENSAMXG00005014571.1)". Lineage: Eukaryota; Metazoa; Chordata; Actinopteri; Characiformes; Acestrorhamphidae. The record is from RNAcentral.